This 576-nucleotide ribosomal RNA is filed under the name uncultured bacterium. RNAcentral describes it as "bacterial SSU rRNA". It matches the Rfam family "Bacterial small subunit ribosomal RNA", at positions 209 to 783 of the family's 1533-position model. The record is from RNAcentral.
GCAAGGGUGCCUAAAGAUGGGCCUGCGUCCCAUUAGGUAGUUGGUGAGGUAACGGCCCACCAAGCCGACGAUGGGUAGCUGGUCUGAGAGGAUGAUCAGCCACACUGGAACUGAGACACGGUCCAGACUCCUACGGGAGGCAGCAGUGAGGAAUAUUGCGCAAUGUCCGAAAGGGUGACGCAGCGACGCCGCGUGGAGGAUGAAGGCCCUAUGGGUCGUAAACUCCUUUUGAGGGGGAAGAAUAGUCCCAUAUACUGGGAUUUGACGGUACCUCUAGAAAAAGCACCGGCUAACUACGUGCCAGCAGCCGCGGUAAUACGCAGGGUGCGAGCGUUGUCCGGAAUCACUGGGUGUAAAGGGAGCGCAGGCGGGUUGGCAAGUCUUUGGUGAAAUCCUGAGGCUUAACCUCAGUACUGCCAAUGAUACUGCUAAUCUUGAGUACAGAAGAGGAAGACGGAAUUCCUGGUGUAGCGGUGAAAUGCGUAGAUAUCAGGAAGAACACCGGUGGCGAAGGCGGUCUUCUGGUCUGUAACUGACGCUCAUGCUCGAAAGCGUGGGGAGCAAACAGGAUUAGAU